AAUCCAUGCAUUAGACAUUUUCGAAUUAACUCUUUAAAUCAUUCUGAAGCUUCAUACAAUGUUUCAUCCUUUGAUUGUCGAAAAGAUGUGAUGUCAUUUAUGAGCUU
Molecule: non-coding RNA, 107 nt
Organism: Gossypium raimondii (Peruvian cotton)
Lineage: Eukaryota; Viridiplantae; Streptophyta; Magnoliopsida; Malvales; Malvaceae
Source: Rfam